Molecule: long non-coding RNA, 90 nt
Organism: Thalassophryne amazonica
Lineage: Eukaryota; Metazoa; Chordata; Actinopteri; Batrachoidiformes; Batrachoididae
Exons: 3
Source: RefSeq, a predicted model, not a curated record
UACAAAGGGAACUGCAAAAUAACCAAAAACUGAACCAAGGAAACACAAGCAGAAAACUAACAUGAAACUCAAAACAGGUGAACAAAACAA